Molecule: ribosomal RNA, 465 nt
Filed under: uncultured bacterium
Lineage: Bacteria
Description: bacterial SSU rRNA
Rfam family: Bacterial small subunit ribosomal RNA
Source: RNAcentral
CCUACGGGUCGCACCAGUGGGGAAUAUUGCACAAUGGGCGCAAGCCUGAUGCAGCCAUGCCGCGUGUAUGAAGAAGGCCUUCGGGUUGUAAAGUACUUUCAGCGGGGAGGAAGGCGGUGACGUUAAUAACCUCACCGAUUGACGUUACCCGCAGAAGAAGCACCGGCUAACUCCGUGCCAGCAGCCGCGGUAAUACGGAGGGUGCAAGCGUUAAUCGGAAUUACUGGGCGUAAAGCGCACGCAGGCGGUCUGUCAAGUCGGAUGUGAAAUCCCCGGGCUUAACCUGGGAACUGCAUUCGAAACUGGCAGGCUAGAGUCUUGUAGAGGGGGGUAGAAUUCCAGGUGUAGCGGUGAAAUGCGUAGAGAUCUGGAGGAAUACCGGUGGCGAAGGCGGCCCCCUGGACAAAGACUGACGCUCAGGUGCGAAAGCGUGGGGAGCAAACAGGAUUAGAUACCCCAGUAGUC